GUGUAUUUCUUUUUCUUUUUUUGAGGCGAAAUACUUGUGUAUUUCAAUUAAAAAAUAAAUAAAUAACCUUUAACUAACAAAAUAAACUCUAGAUUACUUCUAUUUUAAACACUAUUCCUUCAUCAACUGCUCUCCCUCCCUCCCGUCCGGUGCCGCUGUAGCCUGCCACCCUCGAGUCUCGACUGCCGCACACCACCGCCCGCUUCCAUUGCCUCCUUCACCAGCCCAGCGUCUCUUCCCUUCGGCGAACAGUUGCUCGUCUGAAAUAGCCGCACCCGUGUCUUCGCUCGUCAACUCGCCGUCCACCACCAUCGUUGUCAGCAUCAGAAGCCACGGCCACCGGAGACGACUAGCCUCCUCAGCCACCACAGCCAUCAGCUCCUCGGCCUAAGGUUAAUUCUUUUACCUCAAAUUAGGGCUCUAAUAGCUAAUUUCGAAUUAGGGCUCCAAAUUUCGAAUUUCUUUUGUUUUGUGUAAUUGUGGUUGUGUGGAUGCUGUAAAAUUCAAAUUAGGGCAUUGAAUUUUGAAUUUAUUUUGUUUUGUGUAAUUGAGGCUUUGGUGGCUGAAUUUUGAAUUUAUAUUUUAGUAAGUUUCAUCAUCAUCACAUAUCUAUGUAAGUUUUGUUUGCAUUCCAGGCCUUGAUUGAUGUGGAGUUGCUGAAAGUAUUUGUUCGUACUUUGAACAGUGUGUGCCAACGAAUUUUCUACUGUACAAUAACAUAGCUCAGGUAUGCUUCGUGUCUGAAUUUGUAAAUCAUUCUAAAAGCAAUGCUAAUUUAAUUGAUCACAUGACAUGGUAGAGUUGAAUUAUAUAAUUAAAUAAUUUGAUUUCUUGGCUUAUUGUUUCUUGAGGAUUCGGACCCCUGUUUUGUGAACCUUUAGAAUAUCUGGUUUCUUGGUUGCUUUUAGUCUUCUAACCUAAUGUAUGGAAAGUCGUAAACUAAGUUAGAUUAUAGUUGGGGUUUUGCAUUAACCGACUUUUGAUGGAUUGUGAUUAAAAAACUUGAUUUUGGAUUGGGUAACUAUUGCUAUCUGUUAUUACAUAAAGCAUGGUGUAUUGGAAGAACUUCUAUGAAGAAUGGACUGCAAAUCUGUAAAAAGAACUUCAGAAUUAAUGCCUAAGUUGAGGAAGCUAAUUUUGUAACCUUGGGAUUGAGGAAGCUCCAACACCAGAAUUUUUUAUGCGAGAAAAAAUUAAAUAAAUUUGUAAAGUUGGGAUAUGUAAAAGAGUAUAUUAAAGUUGAGUUGUUUUCAAUCGUGUGGUAAUAUUUUCUCAUUCCAUAACUGCUGUUUAGUUGUGAUGCACCGUUUCUUACCAAUUCAUUAAUUGUUUAGUUGAGUUUUAAACAAGAAAUUUGGGAAGCUUUAAUGGAAUGGUAGAAAACAAAUAUGAGCAUGUUAUCUUUCAUUUUGGACAUCCUAUACUGCUUGGAACAUAAAAUUUUAUUGCAAAUCACUGUUGUAAUUCGUAGUGAGUUUGUGUGGCGAUGAAUGUGGUAGGCCAAACAACAACUCCAACAUCUGUUUUAAUAUGAUUUUUUUGUUAUGUGUGGGAGUUUCUAUUUGGGUAGUCAAGAUGUCGAAAGAUACUUGAUGGAGGCAUAUUACUCAUUUGAUUUAUGUAUAAUGUCAAGCAAGGAAGUAAUAUAAGUAUUCUAUUAAAUACUAAAAUUCAGAAGAAAAAAAAUGAGUCUAUGCCAUUUAAAUACAUAAAAAUAAAUUUCUAAGAUUAAAAUAAUAUUAAUAUUGGUUUUAGCUUAUAUUAUUAUUGAUGGUCUUAUUUUGUUUUCUUACUUGCAGUUGCAAUCUUUGUGAAGACUAUUACUUGAAAGACGAUUACUAUUGAGGGUGAAAGCAAUCUUGCAGUUCUGGUAACUUGUUGAACUUUAUCCUAUUUCCUUGCAUGUUGCUAGAUAGCCCGAUUGGUGGCUUUAGGAAUGAAGUUUGUGUAUAUAUUUCUAUGCUUACGAAUAGUAGAAAUUGGUGGUUAGGAUUGGUGGUUAGGUAUGAAAUUACUUAUGUUCAAUGUUUAUUGAAGAUUAUAUGUUAGCUUUAUAGUCAUAUUAUAUCUUUUUAUAUCUUAAAGUUGUCGUAUUUUAUUUUGCUCAUGUAGGUUCAAGCGAGUUGGAUGGUUGAUUUGUCGGAUGAUUGGUGUGGUGGCGAAUGAAGGUGUAAUUAGUUGGAGGUUUUAUUAGAAUUUUUUUAGUAGAUAAAUAAAGGCGUAGUUAGAUUAGAUACAACUAUGGAUGUAAAUAUUUGAUUAUGAGUUUACGAGUAUUGUUUGAUAUUUGUUAGUUGUUUAUGAGUAUUGUUUGAUUAUUCAUUUAAGUAUUUUAAUUUUGUCAUAUAUAUUGGUAUUAUAAAACAGGGAUGUAAAUAUAUUAAUUUUUU
This 2390-nucleotide long non-coding RNA is filed under the name Salvia miltiorrhiza (redroot sage). RNAcentral's name for it is "long non-coding RNA (SMIL_LNC005430)". Lineage: Eukaryota; Viridiplantae; Streptophyta; Magnoliopsida; Lamiales; Lamiaceae. The record is from RNAcentral.